Molecule: ribosomal RNA, 492 nt
Filed under: uncultured bacterium
Lineage: Bacteria
Description: partial 16S ribosomal RNA
Rfam family: Bacterial small subunit ribosomal RNA
Source: RNAcentral
AUUGAACGCUGGCGGCAUGCUUUACACAUGCAAGUCGAACGGUAACAGGCCUUCGGGUGCUGACGAGUGGCGAACGGGUGAGUAAUGCAUCGGAACGUGCCCAGAGGUGGGGGAUAACGCAGCGAAAGCUGUGCUAAUACCGCAUGUGAUCUGAGGAUGAAAGCGGGGGACCAGGCAGCAAUGUUUGGCCUCGCGCCUUUGGAGCGGCCGAUGUCAGAUUAGGUAGUUGGUGGGGUAAAGGCCUACCAAGCCGACGAUCUGUAGCUGGUCUGAGAGGACGACCAGCCACACUGGGACUGAGACACGGCCCAGACUCCUACGGGAGGCAGCAGUGGGGAAUUUUGGACAAUGGGUGCAAGCCUGAUCCAGCAAUGCCGCGUGCGGGAAGAAGGCCUUCGGGUUGUAAACCGCUUUUGUACGGAACGAAAAGGCUCUGGCUAAUACCUGGGGCUGAUGACGGUACCGUAAGAAUAAGCACCGGCUAACUACGUG